Molecule: long non-coding RNA, 424 nt
Organism: Macrobrachium nipponense
Lineage: Eukaryota; Metazoa; Arthropoda; Malacostraca; Decapoda; Palaemonidae
Exons: 4
Source: RefSeq, a predicted model, not a curated record
CAACGACGUUCAGCUAUGCCAGUCACACCCAACGUUGGCUGAAAACCUUUCAGGUCUCUCUCCUGACGCCGACAGAAUCAUCAGUCCCAAGAUGAAACUGGCCGUAGCUCUUGUGGUUUUGGUCGUCGUGCCGUUGACGCUCAUCCAGGCAAACACGACCACCCGUGCAAUUCUAACACCCCAGAAUGCCGGUGCCGUAAGCUCACGAGGCCUCCGAAGGACGCAGAAGGAGAAAAGGGAGGCCCUGUGAGAGAAGCCAUUGCAGCCUGCGAACAGGAGCUCACGACCCAGGUCCCCGUUGGACGAGGUAGGGGUCGUGGCUCCCUUGACCAUCUUCUCGAACAGAUGUCAGAUGAAUUCAAGAACUGCGUUAGAGGAAAGUUCCUGAGUACACUAGGAUUUGUAAGUAGCCUACCCUAUUAAC